GAUGAACGCUGGCUACAGGCUUAACACAUGCAAUUCGAGGGGAAGCGACGGGGAAGCUUGCUUCCCCGGGCGUCGACCGGCGCACGGGUGAGUAACGCGUAUCCAACCUGCCUCUGACUGAGGGAUAACCCGUCGAAAGUCGGCCUAAUACCUCAUGGCAUCGUCUGCGGGCAUCCAACGACGAUUAAAGAUUUCAUCGGUCAGGGAUGGGGGUGCGUCUGAUUAGCUAGUUGGCGGGGUAACGGCCCACCAAGGCGACGAUCAGUAGGGGUUCUGAGAGGAAGGUCCCACAGAUUGGAACUGAGACACGGUCCAAACUCGUACGGGAGGCAGCAGUGAGGAAUAGUGGUGAAUGGGCGAGAGCCUGAACCAGCCAAGUAGCGUGCAGGAGGACGGCGCUAUGGGUUGUAAACUGCUUUUAUGCGGGGAUAAAGUGAGGGACGUGUCCUUCAUUGCAGGUACCGCAUGAAUAAGGACCGGCUAAUUCCGUG
This 491-nucleotide ribosomal RNA is filed under the name uncultured bacterium. RNAcentral's name for it is "partial 16S ribosomal RNA". It matches the Rfam family "Bacterial small subunit ribosomal RNA", at positions 28 to 507 of the family's 1533-position model. The record is from RNAcentral.